Molecule: ribosomal RNA, 105 nt
Filed under: Escherichia coli 2730350
Lineage: Bacteria; Pseudomonadati; Pseudomonadota; Gammaproteobacteria; Enterobacterales; Enterobacteriaceae
Source: RNAcentral
AGCGCGGUGGUCCCACCUGACCCCAUGCCGAACUCAGAAGUGAAACGCCGUAGCGCCGAUGGUAGUGUGGGGUCUCCCCAUGCGAGAGUAGGGAACUGCCAGGCA